This 200-nucleotide ribosomal RNA is filed under the name uncultured bacterium. RNAcentral describes it as "partial 16S ribosomal RNA". It matches the Rfam family "Bacterial small subunit ribosomal RNA", at positions 8 to 205 of the family's 1533-position model. The record is from RNAcentral.
AGAGUUUGAUCAUGGCUCAGAGCGAACGUUAGCGGCAGGCCUAACACAUGCAAGUCGCACGAGAAUCCGGUUUCGGCCGGUAGUAAAGUGGCGGACGGGUGAGUAACACGUGGAUAAUCUGCCCUUCGGCGGGGGACAACAGUCCGAAAGGAUUGCUAAUACCGCAUACGUCGGCAAGCUCUUCGGAGCUUGUCGGGAAA